Molecule: ribosomal RNA, 279 nt
Filed under: uncultured bacterium
Lineage: Bacteria
Description: partial 16S ribosomal RNA
Rfam family: Bacterial small subunit ribosomal RNA
Source: RNAcentral
UGCCAGCCUCCGCUGUAAUACUGAGUUUGCAAGCGUUAAUCGGAAUUACUGGGCGUGAAGCGCGCGUAGGUGGUUUGAUAAGUUGGGUGUGAAAGCCCCGGGCUUAACCUGGGAAAGUCAUCCAAAACUAUUAGACUAGAGUACAGGAGAGGGUAGUGGAAUUUCCAGUGUAGCGGUGAAAUGCGUAGAGAUUGGAAGGAACACCAGUGGCGAAGGCGGCUACCUGGCCUGAUACUGACACUGAGGUGCGAAAGCGUGGGGAGCAAACAGGAUUAGAUA